GUCCAUGCCGUAAACGAUGAUUACUAGGUGUUGGAGGAUUGACCCCUUCAGUGCCGCAGUUAACACAAUAAGUAAUCCACCUGGGGAGUACGACCGCAAGGUUGAAACUCAAAGGAAUUGACGGGGGCCCGCACAAGCAGUGGAGUAUGUGGUUUAAUUCGAAGCAACGCGAAGAACCUUACCAGGUCUUGACAUCCGAUGCAUAGUGCAGAGAUGCAUGAAGUCCUUGGGACAUCGAGACAGUGGUGCAGUGUGU
RNAcentral lists this ribosomal RNA (256 nucleotides) under uncultured bacterium. RNAcentral describes it as "partial 16S ribosomal RNA". It matches the Rfam family "Bacterial small subunit ribosomal RNA", at positions 793 to 1051 of the family's 1533-position model. The record is from RNAcentral.